Molecule: ribosomal RNA, 224 nt
Filed under: Escherichia coli
Lineage: Bacteria; Pseudomonadati; Pseudomonadota; Gammaproteobacteria; Enterobacterales; Enterobacteriaceae
Also listed under: 3 other names
Description: partial 23S ribosomal RNA
Rfam family: Bacterial large subunit ribosomal RNA
Source: RNAcentral
GGUUAAGCGACUAAGCGUACACGGUGGAUGCCCUGGCAGUCAGAGGCGAUGAAGGACGUGCUAAUCUGCGAUAAGCGUCGGUAAGGUGAUAUGAACCGUUAUAACCGGCGAUUUCCGAAUGGGGAAACCCAGUGUGUUUCGACACACUAUCAUUAACUGAAUCCAUAGGUUAAUGAGGCGAACCGGGGGAACUGAAACAUCUAAGUACCCCGAGGAAAAGAAAU